RNAcentral lists this ribosomal RNA (485 nucleotides) under uncultured bacterium. Its description in RNAcentral is "partial 16S ribosomal RNA". It matches the Rfam family "Bacterial small subunit ribosomal RNA", at positions 30 to 508 of the family's 1533-position model. The record is from RNAcentral.
AUUGAACGCUGGCGGCAGGCCUAACACAUGCAAGUCGAGCGGAUGAAGGGAGCUUGCUCCUGGAUUCAGCGGCGGACGGGUGAGUAAUGCCUAGGAAUCUGCCUGGUAGUGGGGGAUAACGUCCGGAAACGGGCGCUAAUACCGCAUACGUCCUGAGGGAGAAAGUGGGGGAUCUUCGGACCUCACGCUAUCAGAUGAGCCUAGGUCGGAUUAGCUAGUUGGUGGGGUAAAGGCCUACCAAGGCGACGAUCCGUAACUGGUCUGAGAGGAUGAUCAGUCGCAAUGGGACUGGAGCACCGCACAGGCCCCCUCGGGGGGGAACAGGGGGGAAAUUUGGAAAAAGGGGGGGAGCCCGGCUCCAGCAAUCCGGUGGGUGGAAGAAGGGUUUUGGAUUGUAAAGGACUUUUAAUUGGGGAGAAGGGCAAGUAGGUUAAUCCCUUGUUGUUUUGCCUUAACAAAAAAAAAAAGCCCGGGCAAGUUUGGGC